RNAcentral lists this ribosomal RNA (497 nucleotides) under uncultured bacterium. RNAcentral's name for it is "partial 16S ribosomal RNA". It matches the Rfam family "Bacterial small subunit ribosomal RNA", at positions 28 to 507 of the family's 1533-position model. The record is from RNAcentral.
GAUGAACGCUGGCGGCGUGCCUAAUACAUGCAAGUCGAGCGAACAGACGAGGAGCUUGCUCCUCUGACGUUAGCGGCGGACGGGUGAGUAACACGUGGAUAACCUACCUAUAAGACUGGGAUAACUUCGGGAAACCGGAGCUAAUACCGGAUAAUAUAUUGAACCGCAUGGUUCAAUAGUGAAAGACGGUUUUGCUGUCACUUAUAGAUGGAUCCGCGCCGCAUUAGCUAGUUGGUAAGGUAACGGCUUACCAAGGCAACGAUGCGUAGCCGACCUGAGAAGGUGAUCGGCCACACUGGAACUGAGACACGGUCCAGACUCCUACGGGAGGCAGCAGUAGGGAAUCUUCCGCAAUGGGCGAAAGCCUGACGGAGCAACGCCGCGUGAGUGAUGAAGGUCUUCGGAUCGUAAAACUCUGUUAUUAGGGAAGAACAAAUGUGUAAGUAACUAUGCACGUCUUGACGGUACCUAAUCAGAAAGCCACGGCUGACUACGUG